Small nuclear RNA from Onychomys torridus (southern grasshopper mouse), 106 nucleotides. NCBI's taxonomy places the organism in Eukaryota, Metazoa, Chordata, Mammalia, Rodentia, Cricetidae. The record is from RefSeq and is a predicted model, not a curated record.
GGGCUCCCUUAGGCAGCACAGACACUAAAACUGGGAAGAUAUAACGAAGAUGAACAUGGCUGUAUGCAAGGAUGCCACACAGAUUCAUGAAACAUUCCAUAUUUUU